Molecule: long non-coding RNA, 4644 nt
Filed under: Homo sapiens (human)
Lineage: Eukaryota; Metazoa; Chordata; Mammalia; Primates; Hominidae
Description: non-protein coding lnc-GRIP2-1:11
Source: RNAcentral
GCACACCCUCAUGCCGCGCGGCGAACGUUCGUUGCCAGGUGCGGCAGCCCGCCCUGGGCGCCUCCUGCCUGCGGAAGAAGAGCAGGACAGACCCGACCCGACCCGCCUAGUCCUUUCCUUCACAGCAGCCUCCAAACUCCACCGCUCGCCUCUUCCGCCAGGCUCCUAGGAUGAGGCCCAGGGCUCCUGGAGCAGCCAGGUGCAAACCAGACCGGGCUCGCACUCCACUGCGUUGCCCUGGGCGAUCGUCCACGUUCUGGGAGACUCGGUAUGCCCCGGGAGGGUGGCCUGAGCUUGUGGUGUGAAGCCAGGUACAGAGCUCCAGAAUCCUGGCCUUGCCAUGGCUGUGUGACCCUGGGCAAGUGACUCAAUUUCUCUGCCUCAGUGUCCUCAUCUAUAAAAUGGAAAGGAAAAUAGUAGCGCUUGUCUCCUCCGGCUGUUAUGAAGAUCCAAGGUUAACAGCGUAGAGAACUCGGAACGCACCCGGCAUCUAGGAAGUGCCAAGCCAGUGUCAGCUAAUGUGACUAUUUUUAAAUGGAGAUGGGGAGUGUGCCAUUAUUCUUGUCCUUAUUUGAAUGAACGGGCCCUCAGGGACCAUUUUCCACUGCCCCGCCCUGGCAGCAUGAGAGGGAAACGCUGUGAGAACCCCGAACCCCAGCCUUCUCCUGUCCCUCUCUCUCUCUCUCUCUCUCUGCACCUGGGAGGCGGGGAGGAGAGAGCCGAUCCUUCCACCAUUUACACGGAGAAUGAAAGAAGAAAUACCGGCCAGGCGCGGUGGCUCAUGCCUGUAAUCCCAGCACUUUGGGAGGCCGAGGGGGCAGAUCACCUGAGGUCAGGAGUUCGAGACCAGCCUGGCCAACAUGGCGAAACUCCGUCUCUACUAAAAGUACAAAAAUUAGCCUGGCGUGGUGCCGGGUGCCUAUAAUCCCAGCUACUCAGGAGGCUGAGGCAGGAGAAUCCCUUGAACCCGGGAGGCGGAGGUUGCAGUGAGCCGAGAUCACGCCACUGCACUCCAGCCUGGGUGACAAGAAUGAGUCUCAAAAAAACAAAAAAGAAGAAGAAGAAGAAAUACCACACAGGUCCGACCAAGAGCUGCCCCCACUCAGGCCAGGAUCCCUGCCUGGAAGGGCUCUGCAGCCACUCUCCCUGUACAGCCCCAGGAUGCUAAGGAGCAUCCCGAAGUGACACUGGCUCUCCCUGGAGGCCCCUGCCAUCGGACUCCAACCUGACCUUCCAGUGGGUGCUCCUCAUACUGGCUCCAGCCAAGACAGACGAGGACCACUGGGCACAUGCCCUUCCUUGCCUUCCUGUCACCCUUCCCACCCUUCUCUGCGGGCCCCGGGUGGCCCCUUCCUCCAGGAAGCACCUGGGGAUCAGCAGUGCCUCUAGGGUCCCAGUGGCCCACGUGACAUCUGCUUCUGGCCACCUGAGCACUCUCCUUUGAGUUCAGGGUCACUGUACCCUUUUAUAGGUAGGCCAGCGGAGCCUCAUGCAGGUAGUGCCAGCGCAAGACACACGAGUGAACCAUCUAUCCAGUUACCAGCUCCAUGAGGGAUGGGAUCUGUUCUUUUGCCUCCAUCAACUCCUGGAGUCUAUCAUAGGCCUGACACACAGUAGGUACUCAAUAAGUGUUUGCUGCAUUUAUUUUAACGUACUUUUCUUUUUUUUCUUUUAAAACGGAGUUUCGCUCUUGUUGCCCAGGCUGGAGUCCAAUGGCGCAAUCUCAGCUCACUGUAACCUCCGCUUCCUGGGUUCAAGUGAUUCUCCUGCCUCAGCCCCGCUAGUAGCUGGCAUUACAGGCAUGCGCCACCACGCCUGGCUAAUUUUGUGUUUUUAGUAGAGAUGGGGUUUCUCCAUGUUGAUCAGGCUGGUCUCAAACUCCCAACCUCAGGUGAUCUGCCUGCCUCGGCCUCCCAAAGUGCUGAGAUUACAGGCGUGAGCCACCGUGCCUGGCUUUAACUUACUUUUCUUUGGCACUUAACUAUGUACCCUGCACAGUUAAAUGCAUUUUAAUAAGUUAACCCUUUUCAUCCCGACAACACCCCUAUGAGAUUGGUACAAUUAUUUCUUCCGUUUUAUAGAAGGUAAAACCGAGCCACAGAGAAGUUAAGUAACUUCCCCAAGGUCACUCAGCUGGCAGAUAGUAGAGCUGGAAUUCAAACCUAGGCCACCUGGCUCCAGAGGUUACAAUCUUGAAUGAGGGGAUUCUGGGUGGGCGAUUGCCAGACAAAAAAACCCAGCCCCAAGGAGAGAAAGGAGGAGAAGGAGGCAAGAAGAGCCCCAACCUCAGCCCCAGGGAGAGGUGGCAGAUGAGGUGGAAAAGGGAUGGUCAGACCGGAGAAGGGGCCAGGAGGAGCCAAUGCCAAAGCUAGAGGCAUGCACAGGGUGGAGAGAGCUCAGUGCGGGAGGCCACAGACCCUAGCUCCACCUCAGCCCUGUGGCUUCCCAGUUGUGUGACUUGGGCCUGCAGGCCUGCUCUCUGAGCCUCAGUUUCCUCAUUGUAAUAUGAGAUAAAAUACACCCUGCCUCAAUGAGCCAUUCUGAGGAGAGGAGAAGUCUCGAACUGGAGGCCUUAAACCGAAUCCAGCUCCCAGAUGUGCUUCUUUGGCUGUCACUGAGCUUUAAUGUGUUUGGAGUUAAUUUUUAUGAAUAAAAGCUUGGAAGAUUUCACAUUUAAAAAAUCUGGCCAGGCUGGGCAACAAAGUAAAAUUCCAUCUCUAUGAAAAUUUUUUUUAGAAAUUCGCCGGGUAUGGUGGUGCAUGCCUAUGGUCCCAGCUACUCAGGAGGCUGAGGCAGGAGGAUCACUUGAGCCCGGGAGGUGAAGGCUGCGGGAAGAGUUUGUCUCGUCUAUCAGGCCACCAACAAGAGUUGUUGCAAUGCCUGUGGGAGGUGCAGCCCACGCUGGGCCACCUGGCCAGCUCAGGGAUCCUGCUGGAGAUCGAGGAUUGUCUGGUCGGCCUCUUACAACUCUCAGAACAUCAUCCCUGGGAGCAGCCCUGAAGAGACCAAGGAAUGGAAAAACAGAUGGAAGGACUGCAACUCACAGGUGAAAAGGAACCGGCUACGAGAGGCUCCAAACCAAGGGAGCAGCGGAGUUUGUCUCCAAAACACCGAGCCCAGUGAGAGAAGCCAGAGCCACAGACCAGAUGCCCUGCAGUGGGUCCCUUUACAUGGCCUUCAAAGUCAGGCAGAGUGAAUUGAGGGCCAUGGGAAUAGGAGCAGUGGUUGCCUCCAGAGGUGAAGUGGGAUGGGGUGAGGUGGUGUGGGGUGGUGUGGGGUGGGUGGGGUAUGAGAGAACCUGCGGGAUGGGAAGGGGCUCCAUCCUUACCUGGGGCAGGUCACUCCAGUGUGUGCUGUCGCGUUUCACUGUAGGAAGUGUAGACCUCAGUAAAAAUCCCAAGGAAAACCCCCAGACCCACUCAGGCUUCCUUCCUGCUUUGAACCACCUCAUGGCCCCCACCACACUGCCACUAAGCCACACUCCUGGCAGCCUCUGAGAUACCCCCUACCUGACCCUCCGCCACUCUCCUCCUCUGCCUCCCUCACUCCCAGCCUCUCUGGCCCCCUGGCUUUCCCUCCAACUCCAGGCUCCCCUCUCUCUGCCUCAGGGCCUUUGCCCCUGUCUUGCUCCCUGCCCCAGGCUCUUCCCCUCAGCCCUUCCCAGGUCUGGCUCCUUCUCCCUAGGCCUCAGCUCCAGUGUCUCAUCCCCAGAGACCUUCCCAGACCACCAUGUCUCAGACAGCCCCGGCUGCCUCCUGCCUGCCCUGCACCAGCCCUGAGCCAUCGCCUCAUUUUAUUCUCAUUCUAACUUGGAUAAUGGGAUCUGCCUCUUACCAACUGUGACCUUAGGCACAGGAUCAGCCCCAAAUUGAGCCUCAUUUUGUCCAUCUGUAAAAUGAGGAUGGCACUAGAGCCCCGUCUAGGGUGAAUGUGAAGGUCAGAGCCUGCACAAGUUGCUCAAUCAAGAAGAAGCUGCCAGGCACAGUGGCUUGUGCCUGUAACCCCAGAACUUUGAGAGGCUGAGCGGGGUGGAUCACCCAAAGUCAGGAGUUCAAGACCAGCCUGGCCAACAUGGUGAAAUGCCGUCUCUACUAAAAAUACAAAAAUUCGCUGGGUGUGGUGGUGGGUGCUUGUAAUCCUAGCUACUCAGGAGGCUGAGACAGGAGAAUCCCUUGAACCCAGAGGCAGAGGUUACAGUGAGCCGAGAUCGUGCCACUGCCCUCCAGCCUGGGCAACAAAGAGUGAAACUCUUGUCUAAAAAAAAAAAGAAGAAGAAGAAGGAGAAGGAGAAGGAGCGGGAGAAGGAGAAGAAGAAGAAGAAGAAGAAGCCUCAGUGAAGUGCUCCAGCAUCUUCACCCCCUUGGUCACUUGCUCAUCUCCUUGAUGAACAAAAGCGGCCCCAGAUCAGAGCCAUCGAGCACCUGCAGCCAGCAAGGUUGGCUGGUUUUCAUUGUGUGCAUUUUUAAGGCGUCUUCUAUUUAUAGAAAGGAUUGUGGUCUUGCAUUUGUAGCAGCGAUGAAAGCUUUACUUUUUGGCAAAAUGUGUGCAAGUUGUUUAGAAGUGAGUCUGUUUGAAAAAAAAAAUUAAAUGAAUAAUGAUUUAGGAGGUGAGUUUGUUUCCUAGGGCUGCUGUGAUGAAGUGCCA